RNAcentral lists this ribosomal RNA (468 nucleotides) under uncultured bacterium. RNAcentral's name for it is "partial 16S ribosomal RNA". It matches the Rfam family "Bacterial small subunit ribosomal RNA", at positions 28 to 507 of the family's 1533-position model. The record is from RNAcentral.
GACGAACGCUGGCGGCGUGCUUAACACAUGCAAGUCGAACGGAGAGGCCCUGCUUUUGUGGGGUGCUCGAGUGACGAACGGGUGAGUAACACGUGAGUAACCUGCCCUUGACUUUGGGAUAACUUCAGGAAACUGGGGCUAAUACCGGAUAGGAGCUCCUGCUGCAUGGUGGGGGUUGGAAAGUUUCGGCGGUUGGGGAUGGACUCGCGGCUUAUCAGCUUGUUGGUGGGGUAGUGGCUUACCAAGGCUUUGACGGGUAGCCGGCCUGAGAGGGUGACCGGCCACAUUGGGACAGAGAUACGGCCCAGACUCCUACGGGAGGCAGCAGUGGGGAAUAUUGCACAAUGGGCGGAAGCCUGAUGCAGCAACGCCGCGUGCGGGAUGACGGCCUUCGGGUUGUAAACCGCUUUCGCCUGUGACGAAGCGUGAGUGACGGUAAUGGGUAAAGAAGCACCGGCUAACUACGUG